UACAUUGAGAGGUCCCGACUCCCGGAGC
This 28-nucleotide non-coding RNA is filed under the name Rattus norvegicus (Norway rat). Lineage: Eukaryota; Metazoa; Chordata; Mammalia; Rodentia; Muridae. The record is from RNAcentral.